RNAcentral lists this ribosomal RNA (783 nucleotides) under uncultured bacterium. RNAcentral describes it as "bacterial SSU rRNA". It matches the Rfam family "Bacterial small subunit ribosomal RNA", at positions 1 to 813 of the family's 1533-position model. The record is from RNAcentral.
AAUUCGAUUAGUUUGAUCAUGGCUCAGCCUGAACGCUGGCGGCGUGGCUAAGACAUGCAAGUCGCACGGUGUAGCAAUACACAGUGGCGAACGGGUGAGUAAUGAAUCGCUAAUGUACCCUGGACUCUGGGAUAGCUAACCGAAAGGGUAGGUAAUACCAGAUGAGACCACAAGCAGGCAUCUGCUGGUGCUCAAAGGUCCGCCGGUCUGGGAGCAGGCGAUUUCGUAUCAGCUAGUUGGUGAGGUAACGGCUCACCAAGGCGACGACGCGUAGCCGGACUGAGAGGUUGGCCGGCCACAUCGGGACUGAGACACUGCCCGGACUCCUACGGGGGGCUGCAGUAACGAAUCUUCCGCAAUGCACGAAAGUGUGACGGAGCGACGCCGCGUGUGGGACGAAGCCCUUCGGGGUGUAAACCACUGUCAGGGGAAAGAAAGUUCUGAUCUACCCCAGAGGAAGGCACGGCUAACUCUGUGCCAGCAGCCGCGGUAAGACAGAGGUGCCAAGCGUUAGGCGGAAUCACUGGGCUUAAAGCGUGUGUAGGCGGAUUUGUAAGUACCUUGUGAAAUCCCACGGCUCACCCGUGGAACUGCUGGGUAUACUGCGAGUCUUGAGCCACUUAGGGGCUGUCGGAACAGGCGGUGGAGCGGUGAAAUGCGUAGAUAUCGCAUGGAACGCCAAAGGUGAAAACAGACAGCUGGGAGCGUGCUGACGCUGAGACACGAAAGCCAGGGGAGCGAACGGGAUUAGAUACCCCGGUAGUCCUGGCCGUAAACGAUGUC